CCUACGGGUGGCAGCAGUGGGGAAUAUUGGACAAUGGGCGAAAGCCUGAUCCAGCCAUGCCGCGUGUGUGAAGAAGGCCUUCGGGUUGUAAAGCACUUUCAGUGGGGAAGAAAGCCUUGGGGCUAAUACCCUCGAGGAAGGACAUCACCCACAGAAGAAGCACCGGCUAACUCCGUGCCAGCAGCCGCGGUAAUACGGAGGGUGCGAGCGUUAAUCGGAAUUACUGGGCGUAAAGCGCGCGUAGGCGGUCUGAUAAGCCGGUUGUGAAAGCCCCGGGCUCAACCUGGGAACGGCAUCCGGAACUGGCAGGAUAGAGUGCAGGAGAGGAGGGUAGAAUUCCCGGUGUAGCGGUGAAAUGCGUAGAGAUCGGGAGGAAUACCAGUGGCGAAGGCGGCCUUCUGGACUGACACUGACGCUGAGGUGCGAAAGCGUGGGUAGCAAACAGGAUUAGAUACCCCGGUAGUC
RNAcentral lists this ribosomal RNA (465 nucleotides) under Vreelandella stevensii. RNAcentral describes it as "partial 16S ribosomal RNA". It matches the Rfam family "Bacterial small subunit ribosomal RNA", at positions 338 to 795 of the family's 1533-position model. The record is from RNAcentral. Lineage: Bacteria; Pseudomonadati; Pseudomonadota; Gammaproteobacteria; Oceanospirillales; Halomonadaceae.